Molecule: long non-coding RNA, 5146 nt
Organism: Mesocricetus auratus (golden hamster)
Lineage: Eukaryota; Metazoa; Chordata; Mammalia; Rodentia; Cricetidae
Exons: 4
Source: RefSeq, a predicted model, not a curated record
GUGCUGGGGUCUGGAAGGUGGAUACUGCUGCUUCCUGACAGCUGUCAAGGCAAGAAGAGACGCAUGAAGCCAAGGGAAGCAAGCGCUGGCUGCAGGUCUACAUUGGGGAAGCUGGGCAGGAUUCUCCUGCUCUGCUGCGAUUUCAGGUGGUGGCUUUAAAGUUUAAAGGGACCAGCGAGUGCUGUUGUUGCUCUGGGCUAGGAAGCCGAGCUCACCACACCUCUCUUGGGUUGCAGGGGGAUACUCACUCCUGUUCCCUGAGCCACCUGCAAGCGCUGCACAGCCAGCCACUGCUCAAACAGGAGAGACAGGGUCCUUUUCUUCUGGAGACAUCCAGUGACUGGUGACUUUUCACAUAAAUAACCUCAAAGUCUAAGUUACAGAGAAACGAGGUGGGUUUCAGGGAGAGAUUUUUCUAGGGGUCUGUGGGGGCUGUACCUAUACUCUAUCUUAACACUUUAACAAUGUACUUAUCUGCUGGCUGCCUCCUUUCUCCCUUGCAGAGGACCAACAAGCCUUCCAUGCUCAAGCAUGAACAGUGAGUGAGCGAUGAGCCUCCCACAACCCCGAGCCCUACACCACGACCCGCAUGGGUUUGUGGCUGCCUGUGGUAACCUGGGGUGAAGCUGGGAACAGAAGUUGAAAAACAGAGGAAAUACACCGGGAUCCAAGUACCCCUGGCCCUCAUGACCCGACCCCUGGAGAAGCAGCCAAGUUACCCGACAUCGUGAUCAGCAGGAGCUGGGCUGGAGGCUGGAGGCUGCAGCUUCAGAGACUCAGCACCUAGGAGGGCUCCUGUGCAGGGAGAAAGGCAGAGAUGCGACAUUUUUAAAGUUUCACCAAACACGAGGCAGCACCCAGGUCCCUGGAGUAGGAGACACACAGAAUUAAUGUUUUAUACCUUCGGGUAUAGGUUUGAGUUUUUUCCCCCUCAUGCCAAGUAUUUAAAACCUCUAGAAACCCAUGAUUUGACAAUCAAUGAUUGCGCGAUACUUUCAAUUUGAAUAUUCAAAGGCUUAACAAAAUGGACUAUCUUCUGCAGAAAUCCUGCACACAGGCACCCCACAGAGAGUCCAGAGAAACAGGGAGUGAGAGGCCUUUGGGUCCUGACCCUUGCUUUUCUCCUAUUUUAAACAUUUUAUCCACCUCCCCACAGACAGAGCAGGUGUCUUCAAAGAUGCUCCAUGUUCUUGCCUCAAAGGCAGCUCAGAAGCCCCCACUGACCUAGGCUGCUCCUCCGGGAUCACCCCAGCCAGGCUGGCUAGCCACAAGGAUUCUCACCUGUCCAAUCUCCAUUUUAAGGGAGAAAUCUCAGGUUUUGGAAAGUGAACAUGGCAGCCAGUGGGUGUGGCACAGCAAAUGGCCACUUUGGGCCCAGGUGGCAGGCCAGAGGACAGCAGAGGCCUAAGCUUUGCAUUUCAUAUUCCCCUGACCCUGCCUGACCGCUUGUGGGCUUCCCUCUGGAUCCAUCCUCCCUCCUGCUAGGCCGCAGACACUGGGCUUCCAGAAAGAAGUCCUUGCGCAUCAGCACUCCCUCUGCUCCUUGGAGAGUCGUGGAUCUUCACCACUGCCCUGGACCGGCUGAGAUUUCUCUAGCCUGGGAUUCCAUCACUGUACGCUGGCAUUCCAGAUUCUGUAUUUUUUUCCAACUUCUUCUUCCUCUGCACCCCAGUCUUUUUGCCUCAUAGCACCUCUGCUUGUUUUAGAGAAGGAUAUGGGGUUUAUUUCGAAGGCUCUGAGGAGAGAGGUGGGGGGAUUUGGAGUCGAGCGGCCUCAUUGGACCCCUCACGAGUAACCCAGGCCUGUGCUGAUGCACAUUCCCCAAGCACUGCCUGGGUUGCUCUCUGGCCUGUGAUUUGAAAGAUGGGAGAGACUGGGGUGAUCUAGAAUGCCAGGCCAAGUCUCCACAGCGAUACAAAAGGGUCUCCUUUGGAAAACAAAAAUCUAGAUAUCUCCAGGACUGCAAAUAAAGUGAUAGUACAGGACUCUAUUCUUGAAUCCUUGAGUUCUCUGAAAUGAAAAACAAAAAGUAGUAAGCCUUAGCUCCCAAGACCUUUAGAAAAAAACCUGAAAAAUUAAAAUGCAUUAAAUAUAGUAUGUUAGACAUAGGGUAUAACAAUCAGCUCAGCUCAAGGACUUCUGGGGAUAAUAAAAGCAUGAUGGGUAGAGCUGUCUGUCAGGCAGGUGGAGCCACAUAUCUGGGAGAGGAUCAAGGUUCGGGAAGCUUGAGGUAGCAUCUGGUGGUGGAGGGUAGGGUAAGGUGUGGCUGUAUUUGGUCCAGCUGGCGUUUUUUCAGCCACUGGAACCGAUUUCUGCAAAGCCAGGCCUGAGGACCAGACCAGGGAAGGACCUGCCCAGCACUUCCUGCUUGCAGUGCCCAAUGCCUCUUUUUUCCUUUUUGUCUUGGUCUUAGUUUUGGCUUGCUUUUAAGAAGCUUUCCUUUUUGUUCCUUUGGCUUUUUUUUGUUUUUGUUUAUUCUUCCCCACAUCUUCUAAUCCUCGUUUUUCUUUCUAUGGAUGAGUUUCUUCACUUCCUGUCUGCACUCUCUGACUCUAUAUGUGCCUCCCUUUGCCCUAUUCUGGAGCGCCGUCUCAUUGUUUCAGAGUAAAUACUCUUCCUCAGCUCCCCACUCACAUACAAAUGGGCAGAGGAGGCCUGAGGUUACAGUUUUCCCUUGGCAACAUCAAGGACAUUGAUGCUAGCGACUGGAUCUGAAGCCUGGGGUCUGCAGAGACAACAAAGAGCAAUGACAUCUGCAUCUUUUCUGCCAGAAGCCUUUGCAUGAGCCAUGGCCCCUGUCCUGGGGCUUCUGUGUGUUGCUGAGAUUGAGAGAGGGGGUCUGUUGCUGCUAAGCAACUACAGAAAACUAUUUCUUCAGGCGGGUUUUCAGAGUCUUCCCCCCCUGUCAUCUAUACUAUAGGUCAACCGAACAUUAAGGGAUUUUGAUUCUUGUUCUUGUAACUGAAAAGCCUCAGAACCGACAUUUCAGAGCUAAAAGCCCCCUUUCAUAUCUGUGUGUGUGUGUGUGUGUGAGAGAGAAAGAGAGAGAGAGAGGGAGAGAGAGAGAAAGAGAGAGAGGGAGAGAGAGAGAGAGAGAGAGAGAGAGAGAGAGAGAGAGAGAGAGAGAGAGAGAGAGAGGAAUAUACCCAGAGUAACCAGCCAUUUUUUUUUUGCCCAGUGAUUCCAAAUGCCUAUAGAACUGGGUACUCUUCUUGGUUGUACAUCCAUCCAUCCAUCCAUCCAUCCAUCCAUCCAUCCAUCCAUCCAUCCAUCCAUUCAUUUUGGUGUUGAGAUAGAAUCCAGGGCAUGCUGGGUAAGCACUCUACAACUGAACUACAUUUGCAGCCCAUAGAAGAUUAUUUAAAGUUCUCAUCUGUUGUUUCCUGGGUGCUAGAUCUAUGUUGUGUAGUGUUCCCACCACAGAGCUGAAGAAGCUGACUUAGAGGGAUGUACAUCUUGCCAAGUUUAGGAAGCACAUAAAUGACAGAACUGGGCUUUCAACUUUUCUAAGUCUCACUCCAAAGUCCUUGCUGUAUUAUCAGUUUGUCCAAGGAGCUUAAGACUGCAGCAUACUGAUGCGGAAUUGUCUAGAAACGCCGAACCUGGAAGAAGCAUCUGGCUAGAGAUGAAGACAAGCUGUUCAUUAUGCUGACUGUGGUUUGCGUGCCCCCUCUUCCUGGGGGCUUGUUACUAGGUGGAGCAAGAAAUUGUGGGGUCUGACUGGCUGUCACGGGCUCCUUUGCUUACAACAACACAGUGUCUUGAUGCUGAGCGUUGGAAGAGACCUUGAAAGGGACUGACAUCUUGGUCAGUGGCUGUCUGGCUUGUUGUUCUAUUGCUGGGUCACAGAAAUUUCUGUGUGGAGACGAGUCUGACUACUGGUUAGGCAGACUUUGCCAUUACUGGAAUCGUUAAAUGGAGUGAUGAGUGAUUGAUCCAUAAGUCAACUAGAAGUUCCUACACCAGGCAGGGCAAUGAGUACCAGGAAUACAAAGAUAAGUAAGCAAUGGCUCUGUUCUACCACGCUAAGCACAUUGCUGCUUUUCUAUUGUGGGUUCUUUCACACAUCCAUUUACCAUUUAUUCAAUAAUCAUGUGCUGUUUUCUCUGGCCAGUCAGUGCUUGCUUUUCACUCAAACCUUUCCUUAAAGCCACGCUCCCCAGUUUCCCCCAUUCUUCGUAAAUCAGCUUUUCAGAUCUCUGCUUUUCCACAUCCAAGGUCAGAAAUCCUUUAGCUUGUCACUGACCUUCAUAAAAUCAUCCAGCAGGACCUGCAGUGAGUAGAAUGGAUGUUUUUAAUGUGGAAAGUUGAAUGUUUUUAACUGAAAACGGAAAAAUAUUGAUGGUCUUUUGUAUGUGAAUGACUGUACAGCAAUAUGCUUUUCCCGCCAAAGUAGGUUUUAUUAAACUUAGACUUGUACAUAUUAAAAGACCUUUGAUAUAAGGAAAGGUGUGGUUUAUUCCUUCCAAAUUUGACUACAGCCCUUUAGUAAUGCAAAGUUCUUUUGUCACCUUUUGAGACACUGUUACUGAAUGCUGUGGGAAAUAUCAAGUUCCAAAAAGUUGAAUACAUAGAAGAAACAAGUAUUUAUUGGUCCUUAGGGUACACAUUUGGUUCAUGUGAAAAUUACCAAGAAGCUAGUAGAUGGCGGUGAUGUAAGAUUCUGUACAUAGUUUCUCCUCACAGUAUAUAUUCAAUUUAGACUUUACGAAGAAAAGCUUAUAAUGAACCAGCUUUUGAUCAUUUAUUAUUUAGGCAAGAAGAGUGCCAUAUACACUGCUUGUAGCAUUUCUGUUUUACUUAAAACAUUUUUAUCGUACCAUAUUUCUAACAUAUAAAAUUGUAUAGAGAAUACUGUCAUGAAAAUUGUAAAUGCAUCACCCAGGUUGAGGAAUAAAAUGGCUGAGUGAUUGUACAUUUAUGAACUACUAGGCAUUAGAACUUCUGGAUUAUUCCACUCAAGAUGUUUGGUUAGGGGAAAAGUCUAUCAUUUGUCUUAAUAUAAAGCAUAUUAUUUGUUUGAUGAAGUUUUUCCUUUAGGAUGUGUAGCUUUUCUCCUGUUCUUGUAAUGCAAACCUUAUGUCUUAUUGUUCAAAGAUGCUUAUGUGUCACAUAUCUAAUAAAACGUGAUGUCAAUGUUUGCAAA